CCUACGGGCGGCAGCAGUGGGGGAUAUUGCACAAUGGGGGAAACCCUGAUGCAGCGACGCCGCGUGGGUGAAGAAGCGCCUCGGCGCGUAAAGCCCUGUCAGCAGGGAAGAAAAUGACGGUACCUGAAGAAGAAGCCCCGGCUAACUACGUGCCAGCAGCCGCGGUAAUACGUAGGGGGCAAGCGUUAGCCGGAUUUACUGGGUGUAAAGGGGGCGCAGACGGGGAUGCAAGCCAGGAGUGAAAGCCCGGGGCCCAACCCCGGGACUGCUCUUGGAACUGCGUGGCUAGAGUGCAGGAGGGGCAGGCGGAAUGCCUGGUGUAGCGGUGAAAUGCGUAGAUAUCAGGAGGAACACCGGUGGCGAAGGCGGCCUGCUGGACUGCAACUGACGUGGAGGCCCGAAAGCGUGGGGAGCAAACAGGAUUAGAUACCCGGGUAGUC
RNAcentral lists this ribosomal RNA (440 nucleotides) under uncultured bacterium. Its description in RNAcentral is "partial 16S ribosomal RNA". It matches the Rfam family "Bacterial small subunit ribosomal RNA", at positions 338 to 795 of the family's 1533-position model. The record is from RNAcentral.